UCUUCAAUGCGUCUGUCUCAUAAUUUGUAAACGUUUAUUAUCUUGAAGUCAUUGUUAAUCUGUGGUGAAAAGUAAUUGCUAAAUAGAAAUUCUGAGAAGAAAAAGGCCUCAUCCUUUUCACAUGAUGUAGGAAGGUCUGUUGCAUGAGGAUCUUUUAAUUUGUUUUGUAAAGCAAUGGGAAAUCCAGAAAACAUAGAAGAUGCAUAUGUUGCUGUUAUUCGUCCAAAGAAUACUGCCAGUCUCAAUUCUCGGGAAUACAGAGCUAAGUCAUAUGAAAUUUUGUUGCAUGAAGUUCCCAUUGAAGGACAGAAAAAAAAAAGAAAGAAAGUUUUGUUGGAAACGAAACUUCAAGGCAACAGUGAAAUAACACAAGGCAUAUUGGAUUACGUAGUAGAAACCACCAAACCAAUUUCUCCUGCAAACCAGGGUAUCAGAGGUAGGAAACUUCUUUUUUAAAAACACAUCGUUUAAAAUACUUGUGGAGAAAGAUUCUUUUAAAAAUAAACACAUAUUAAACCAGUUUCUUUUUAUGUUUCUUUACAUUUAACAAACUUGCAAAAAAACUCAAGUGUUUUUUAA
RNAcentral lists this small RNA (579 nucleotides) under Pongo abelii (Sumatran orangutan). Its description in RNAcentral is "retained intron". Lineage: Eukaryota; Metazoa; Chordata; Mammalia; Primates; Hominidae. The record is from RNAcentral.